AGGGAAAGAGGGGGGUAGGCCUAACACAUGCAAGUCGAACGGCAGCACAGUAAGAGCUUGCUCUUACGGGUGGCGAGUGGCGGACGGGUGAGGAAUACAUCGGAAUCUACUUUUUCGUGGGGGAUAACGUAGGGAAACUUACGCUAAUACCGCAUACGACCUACGGGUGAAAGCAGGGGAUCUUCGGACCUUGCGCGAUUGAAUGAGCCGAUGUCGGAUUAGCUGGUUGGCGGGGUAAAGGCCCACCAAGGCGACGAUCCGUAGCUGGUCUGAGAGGAUGAUCAGCCACACUGGAACUGAGACACGGUCCAGACUCCUACGGGAGGCAGCAGUGGGGAAUAUUGGACAAUGGGCGCAAGCCUGAUCCAGCCAUACCGCGUGGGUGAAGAAGGCCUUCGGGUUGUAAAGCCCUUUUGUUGGGAAAGAAAAGCAGCAGGUUAAUACCCCGCUGUUCUGACGGUACCCAAAGAAUAAGCACCGGCUAACUUCGUG
This 492-nucleotide ribosomal RNA is filed under the name uncultured bacterium. Its description in RNAcentral is "partial 16S ribosomal RNA". It matches the Rfam family "Bacterial small subunit ribosomal RNA", at positions 38 to 507 of the family's 1533-position model. The record is from RNAcentral.